This 492-nucleotide ribosomal RNA is filed under the name uncultured bacterium. Its description in RNAcentral is "partial 16S ribosomal RNA". It matches the Rfam family "Bacterial small subunit ribosomal RNA", at positions 29 to 507 of the family's 1533-position model. The record is from RNAcentral.
AGUGAACGCUGGCGGUAGGCCCAACACAUGCAAGUCGAACGGCAGCACAGUAAGAGCUUGCUCUUACGGGUGGCGAGUGGCGGACGGGUGAGGAAUACAUCGGAAUCUACUUUUUCGUGGGGGAUAACGUAGGGAAACUUACGCUAAUACCGCAUACGACCUACGGGUGAAAGCAGGGGAUCUUCGGACCUUGCGCGAUUGAAUGAGCCGAUGUCGGAUUAGCUAGUUGGCGGGGUAAAGGCCCACCAAGGCGACGAUCCGUAGCUGGUCUGAGAGGAUGAUUAGCCACACUGGAACUGAGACACGGUCCAGACUCCUACGGGAGGCAGCAGUGGGGAAUAUUGGACAAUGGGCGCAAGCCUGAUCCAGCCAUACCGCGUGGGUGAAGAAGGCCUUCGGGUUGUAAAGCCCUUUUGUUGGGAAAGAAAAGCAGCAGGUUAAUACCCCGCUGUCCUGACGGUACCCAAAGAAUAAGCACCGGCUAACUUCGUG